Gallus gallus (chicken) is the source of this 3559-nucleotide long non-coding RNA. NCBI's taxonomy places the organism in Eukaryota, Metazoa, Chordata, Aves, Galliformes, Phasianidae. The record is from Ensembl.
AGAGGAUUGAUACCACGUUCCCCUUCCGCUCACCUUGGAGGGAAGCUGCAGUCUGAGUUUAUUCUGAAUGGAGCUCCUCUGCAGAGCAUGAGGUGCUGGAUGGGGAUUCAGGUAUUUUGAGGAAGAAAACUUCUGCAAAGUGGGAGGUGAACAGCUUUUUGAAGUACUCGGCUCUUAUUUCAAGAAAGGGGAAUUCCUUGCAUUUUCAUACAAUACCCAACUAAUUAAACAAAGCUGCUGCAGAUUACAGCAGCGCAGCUCCUUCAGAUACCUCAACAGCUGUGCACGGAGUCCUUUAAAAUCCAAAGCAUGCUGUUUCUGUUAGUCAGAAUAUUUUCAUCUUUGCUAUACUCCAUUCUAAGCUCCACCCAUCCACUACCCAGUAAAUUUCCCUGCCCUUUUGGCAGGAAAUGGGAAAUGAUCACAGAAUCACACAAUCAGUCAUAGGAGUUGGAAGAGACCUCUGGAGAUCGAGUCCACCGCCCUGCUGCUAAAGCGGGUUUGCAACAUCAGGUUGCACAGGCAGGCAUCCAGACAGGUCUUGAAUAUCUCCAGAGAAGGAGACUCCACGACGACAUCUGUUAACUUUUACAAACAUGCUGGAAAAAAAAAUAAUGAUAAGAAAUAAGAAAGAUUAGCUCUUUGAUUUCCCAUCCUUAUGCAAGAACUGCUUAUUCUCUGCACUUCCAAUCUCAAUAUCUUGUUGGAUUUCUGCUGGGCCAACAGGUGGAGAUGGCACACAGAUCCCCAGUGAUGUGCUCUGUCCAGGCUAAGUCUGGGUCUGGAAGUUGCCAGAUUUAAGAAUGAGUUUGCUACAGACAAAGACUCUGUUCACCUGAAGGUCUCAGCAGGAACUGGAGGUUCCCUUCACACGUACAAGAUGCUACUGACAAGACGAGGCCUGCAUCCUGCUCAGGAGAACACCUCAGUGCCUUCCACUGGAGAACAAAAUCCAUAAGGUUUUAUUUGAGGUGGGUUUGUGUUCUCAGAAGUCCCUCUGAAGACACAGACAAAGCCCAGCACUCCAUGCACACACUAGUGGAAUUGCCAGCUGUAUAUAUCAACUUAUAUAGCUGUGUAUAAGAGACUUAUCAAGUAUUUUAAGCAAGUUUUAAGAAGAUCCUCAACUUGCACUUGAAUACUUCGUGGAGAUGAAUGUCUUCCAAAGACUGUUUCACCCAAAGGCUUAAUCUGAAGACCAUAGAAUCACAGAAUUUUUUGAGUUGGAAGAGAGCUUUAAAGGCCAUCUAGUCCAACUCCCCUGCAAUGAAGAAGACACCUACAGCUACCUCAGAGUCCCAUCCAACUUGGCAUUGAAUGUGAUGGGCAUCCACCACCCCACUGGGCAACCUGUUCCAGUGCUUCACUACCCUUAGUGUAAAAAGCUUUGUCCUUACAUCCAAAAUUAUUCUCUCCUCUUUUAGUUUGACAGAUCAUUCUAGAUUGGUCAUUCUUUCAAGAAGGAUCUUUAAAUCUACUGCAAACUCAGCAAUGUAGAUUUUGGCACUCAUCCUCCAGGCUCUCCCAUGGGUGGUUACCACAGAAUGUCAGACCAUCUUCUGAAGAAAGAUAAAUAGCCAAGUAUUAACUUUGGGCUUCGUUUGAAAAUCAACUAGUUUUCUUUAAAAUUCUUCUCCAAGAUGUCCAGAGGGUGUGGACCUGGUGUUCUCUUUGCAAACUGGGAUCUCUUCCAUGUUCAUGUGGGGGAUGGCGAGGCAGCCAGAAGACCAAAAGGGCCUUCACAGAAGCUAUUUCCCCCUUCAUUGCAGCAGAUCAGUUCAAAUUACAGUCAGCACUCAAAAAGGGAGUUCAAGUGAGAAGGGAAACACGUCCUCUUAGUGCCCACCACUGCCAAGCUCCGCUGCAUUUUGUGCAAGCCAAAGCUGCUGUGACUUCAAAGUCUGAAGACUGUCCUGAGGUGUAAUGCAUUUAUCAGGUGUUUCGUUGGAUAAGUCCCUUCUCUCUCAACUCUUUAGGAGUUUUCUUGGCACCAGAUAAUAGUGGAACAAACCACAUCUUGUCUGUGCACGUUCAGUUAAGAUCAACUGAAUUAACUUCUCUUAAUUAAGACAGUUCCUACUCUGCCAGCUCCCUCUGGAUUUUUACAUCCUGCAAACCCCAGCCGCAAUGCAUAGUGCAGUUCCAAGUAUAUAAAGAAAGCUGAAGUUUGCUGCUGAAAAAAUACUGUAGGAAACAUCUGUGGAAAUUAGUUUUGUACUUUUCUAGAACUGUUUCUCCAAGAUGACUGCUGGUAAAUUUUAUGGGAAAUAUUUGUCUUUGUUUUCAGCUUCUUUAAAAGGAAACUUUUAGUUUUUUUUUCUUUUAGUUGUUUCCCCGUCCUUUCAUCCUUAGGUAGUUUUAUGGUAAGUAAAACAGCAAAGUUCAAGCUCAGUUGGAGACCACUCCAGAGAAGCUCUUAACUGUGUGAAAUGUCCUUCUGACUUCCAGAGGGAAUGCUCAAAUGCUUCAACUUGUGCUUAAGUGCUUUGCAGCAGGGAGCUCCUGAUCUCUCUGGAAAUGUGACCUCAGGGGUGUAUCUUGGAUGGGUGAUAAAUUUUUCUCUUGAGGAGGCAGAACACAGAGAGCAUCGUCUCAGGUAGUCGUUGGUGUGCAGCUCUAAGAGGUGACCGCUGUGAGUGACACCAAAGGUGAUUGUGUCCCACUGGAGACUGGCAGAAGGGAGGGGAGAGUAGCAACUCAGCUGCCCUGCUGCAAAGUCCAGGAUAUCUUUACAAAGAAAAAGAUUGAGAUGACAGACCACACCGCAAGGUACAGCUGGUGAGGUAGAGACACGUGGUCUCCUUCUCUGACCCUCCUUCACAGAAGGGCAGAGAGCAAAGCACAGAUUUCUGCAGCUGUUUGCAGGGAUGUCAGAGUCCUCUGGCAGAUAUGUUUGGCAUACCAUGAGCUGCAAAGCAGUGGUCAGAGGUUGCUGCACACAACUGCCUGGGAUCUCAGACUCAGGAACAUUGGUGUGGUUUUGUUAUAUAACCAAAGCUUUUUUAUGCAACUGUUCCUCCAGCACUGCCCUGCUUUAUCCGAUUAUUAUGGAGGAUGACAAACACUGUUAUUUUUAACAGCUGGAUCAAGGCUCAAUGAUCUUAAAAGGAUAUUCAGAAGCAGCUGCUUCCGUAAGGCUAUGCAGACAGUGGUGACCGCUGCAAAAGCGGUUUGCCUCUCUUUUGGAGACUCUGAACCCAGCACUGAUGUUGCCUUGCACUUUCAAAUGACAGGCUGUGAUCUUUUUUUCCCCUAAAUGUUGUAAGCUGCCUUUUGACAUUCAUCCAGAAACACAACAACAGCUUUCCAUGAGAUUCUAUGAUUCUGUGACAACGAAUUCACUCACUACUUCCCAUCAGCAGGCAGAUGCUCAGCCACUUCCAAGCAGUGAAGACAAAGGACACGACUGGUCAUAAAAUAUGAGACUCCAAGAGAAGUGUUUGUAUUUGGCAUAUAAAGAGCUUGCAAAAUGCAAUUCUUUAAGGAUAUUACAUUAUAAAGAGAAUGAAGGUCAGCAUCAGCAGAUAUUAACAUCUUCUGCUCAAAAAAGAACAAUUAG